UAACAUGCAAAAUGAACAUGUUUUGCUUUUUAAUUCUCCUUCACUCAGUCUUUGUAUAAUAUAUAUUUUUAGACGAGCUGAUCGCCAACCAGGAGAUCAGAAUGAUCGCAUCUGCUCCUGCCACUUUAAGGAUGGUAAGAAGCAGGGGGACCCUGCAUAUUUUGCAUGGAAUGAAGGAAAGGCCAUGGAUUUCUCUGAUCCUGAAUGUACAAAAAGGAGGAAAAAACUCAAAAGUGAGGAGUCUCUGUCAUCUUCACAGAUGGACCAGUUGCAGAUUCCACAAGCACCAAAAUGUCAAGAUCAAGAAAAAUUGAUAUCAGAGCACAACUACUCAGCAUCCUGCACAUUUAACUGUACUCAAGAAAUGCAGCGCCUCUCAACAGAAAUACAACUGGAAAAGGAAUUGCUUGCCUAAAAAUAGAGUCCAGUAAAAGGAAGCCAAUAUCAAUUCACGAUAUUAAAUACAACGAAGAGAAGAUGCUUUUGUAUACAUCCCUACAGUAUGACAGGCAUAUUCUAAAUCUUAGUCAGAUUGAUACAACGAUUUGAACUCGAUUAUUAAAAUGGCUGGACUCCUUCGAUGAAAACAGAGGACCAACUGCUCAUUGUACUAAUGAAGUUAAAACUCAAUCUACGGGACACUGACUUGGCUGAUAGAUUCUGUGUCAGUGGACACACAAGAUGCUAUCUGAUGG
Long non-coding RNA from Saccostrea cuccullata (small rock oyster), 695 nucleotides. RefSeq lists it as uncharacterized. The transcript has 4 exons. NCBI's taxonomy places the organism in Eukaryota, Metazoa, Mollusca, Bivalvia, Ostreida, Ostreidae. The record is from RefSeq and is a predicted model, not a curated record.